UUAAACCGGGAGGAAGGUGGGGACUAGACGUCAAGUCCUCAUGGCCUUAUGCUUAGGGCUACACACGUGCUACAAUGGGUGGUACAAAGAGAAGCCAACUCGCGAGAGCGCGCCAAUCUCAAAAAGCCAUCCUCAGUUCGGAUUGGAGUCUGCAACUCGACUCCAUGAAGUUGGAAUCGCUAGUAAUCGCGGAUCAGCAUGCCGCGGUGAAUACGUUCCCGGGCCUU
RNAcentral lists this ribosomal RNA (227 nucleotides) under uncultured Smithella sp. RNAcentral's name for it is "partial 16S ribosomal RNA". It matches the Rfam family "Bacterial small subunit ribosomal RNA", at positions 1157 to 1382 of the family's 1533-position model. The record is from RNAcentral. Lineage: Bacteria; Pseudomonadati; Thermodesulfobacteriota; Syntrophia; Syntrophales; Smithellaceae.